AAGAGUGUUAGGGAGCCUCCAAACGCAGCACGCUCACGGAGAAUCUCCCGUUCAGAAACAUCGCUUAGUCCUCAUUUACUCACUGGGAACCUCGGAGGAUUUCAGCUGAUGUUUUUCUCUCCUUAGACAGUGAGGAGCUCAACAUAACAGGGAAAAGGAGCACAGGAUGCAGCUACUUGGAGGGUGUUGAUUGAAAACUUCGAUCUCCCCACCCCAUUCACGGUUGAUUUGACGGAUUUCUCACCUCGUUCACAGAGAAAAUUUCAAUUAAGGCCCCUUUAGAUGGAAUAUAAUACAGCAGAAGCCUUUUCAUCAAAAGGAUUAAUGCCUGCCUCAUCAUUUCUGCAAUAAAACAAGAAGCUAAGUGGUGGAGGCCACAGACACCUCAAACCUGGAUUCCACAAUUCUACGUUAAGUGUUGGAGUUUUUAUUACUCUGCUGUAGGAAAGCCUUUGCCAAUGCUUACAAGGAACUGUUUAUCCCUGCUUCUCUGGGUUCUGUUUGAUGGAGGUCUCCUAACACCACUACAACCACAGCCACAGCAGACUUUAGCCACAGAGCCAAGAGAAAAUGUUAUCCAUCUGCCGGGACAACGGUCACAUUUCCAACGUGUUAAACGUGGCUGGGUAUGGAAUCAAUUUUUUGUGCUGGAAGAAUACAUGGGCUCUGAGCCUCAGUAUGUGGGAAAGCUCCAUUCCGACUUAGACAAGGGAGAGGGCACUGUGAAAUACACCCUCUCAGGAGAUGGCGCUGGCACCGUUUUUACCAUUGAUGAAACCACAGGGGACAUUCAUGCAAUAAGGAGCCUAGAUAGAGAAGAAAAACCUUUCUACACUCUUCGUGCUCAGGCUGUGGACAUAGAAACCAGAAAGCCCCUGGAGCCUGAAUCAGAAUUCAUCAUCAAAGUGCAGGAUAUUAAUGAUAAUGAGCCAAAGUUUUUGGAUGGACCUUAUGUUGCUACUGUUCCAGAAAUGUCUCCUGUGGGUGCAUAUGUACUCCAGGUCAAGGCCACAGAUGCAGAUGACCCGACCUAUGGAAACAGUGCCAGAGUCGUUUACAGCAUUCUUCAGGGACAACCUUAUUUCUCUAUUGAUCCCAAGACAGGUGUUAUUAGAACAGCUUUGCCAAACAUGGACAGAGAAGUCAAAGAACAAUAUCAAGUACUCAUCCAAGCCAAGGAUAUGGGAGGACAGCUUGGAGGAUUAGCCGGAACAACAAUAGUCAACAUCACUCUCACCGAUGUCAAUGACAAUCCACCUCGAUUCCCCAAAAGCAUCUUCCACUUGAAAGUUCCUGAGUCUUCCCCUAUUGGUUCAGCUAUUGGAAGAAUAAGAGCUGUGGAUCCUGAUUUUGGACAAAAUGCAGAAAUUGAAUACAAUAUUGUUCCAGGAGAUGGGGGAAAUUUGUUUGACAUCGUCACAGAUGAGGAUACACAAGAGGGAGUCAUCAAAUUGAAAAAGCCUUUAGAUUUUGAAACAAAGAAGGCAUACACUUUCAAAGUUGAGGCUUCCAACCUUCACCUUGACCACCGGUUUCACUCGGCGGGCCCUUUCAAAGACACAGCUACGGUGAAGAUCAGCGUGCUGGACGUAGAUGAGCCACCGGUUUUCAGCAAGCCGCUCUACACCAUGGAGGUUUACGAAGACACUCCGGUAGGGACCAUCAUUGGCGCUGUCACUGCUCAAGACCUGGAUGUAGGCAGCAGUGCUGUUAGGUACUUCAUAGAUUGGAAGAGUGAUGGGGACAGCUACUUUACAAUAGAUGGAAAUGAAGGAACCAUCGCCACUAAUGAAUUACUAGACAGAGAAAGCACUGCGCAGUAUAAUUUCUCCAUAAUUGCGAGUAAAGUUAGUAACCCUUUAUUGACCAGCAAAGUCAAUAUACUGAUUAAUGUCUUAGAUGUAAAUGAAUUUCCUCCAGAAAUAUCUGUGCCAUAUGAGACAGCCGUGUGUGAAAAUGCCAAGCCAGGACAGAUAAUUCAGAUAGUCAGUGCUGCAGACCGAGAUCUUUCACCUGCUGGGCAACAAUUCUCCUUUAGAUUAUCACCUGAGGCUGCUAUCAAACCAAAUUUUACAGUUCGUGACUUCAGAAACAACACAGCUGGGAUUGAAACCCGAAGAAAUGGAUACAGCCGCAGGCAGCAAGAGUUGUAUUUCCUCCCUGUUGUAAUAGAAGACAGCAGCUACCCUGUCCAGAGCAGCACAAACACAAUGACUAUUCGAGUCUGUAGAUGUGACUCUGAUGGCACCAUCCUGUCUUGUAAUGUGGAAGCAAUUUUUCUACCUGUAGGACUUAGCACUGGGGCGUUGAUUGCAAUUCUACUAUGCAUUGUUAUACUCUUAGCCAUAGUUGUACUGUAUGUAGCACUACGAAGGCAGAAGAAAAAAGACACCCUGAUGACCUCUAAAGAAGACAUCAGAGACAACGUCAUCCAUUACGAUGAUGAAGGAGGUGGGGAGGAAGAUACCCAGGCUUUCGACAUCGGGGCUCUGAGAAACCCAAAAGUGAUUGAGGAGAAUAAAAUUCGCAGGGAUAUAAAACCAGACUCUCUCUGUUUACCUCGUCAGAGACCACCCAUGGAAGAUAACACAGACAUAAGGGAUUUCAUUCAUCAAAGGCUACAGGAAAAUGAUGUGGACCCAACUGCCCCACCAUACGAUUCACUGGCCACAUAUGCCUACGAAGGGAGUGGGUCCGUGGCAGAGUCCCUCAGCUCUAUAGACUCUCUCACCACAGAAGCCGACCAGGACUAUGACUAUCUGACAGACUGGGGACCCCGCUUUAAAGUCUUGGCAGACAUGUUUGGCGAAGAAGAGAGUUAUAACCCUGAUAAAGUCACUUAA
RNAcentral lists this small RNA (2843 nucleotides) under Pan troglodytes (chimpanzee). RNAcentral describes it as "retained intron". The record is from RNAcentral. Lineage: Eukaryota; Metazoa; Chordata; Mammalia; Primates; Hominidae.